AAUUAAUCAUGUUGAAGCUAAAUGAAGUAGUUAUGUUUUGUUCAGAAACCCCGCCCCUUUUCGAAGGAAACCAAUUCGCGCCCAUCGCCAUUUUGUCUCUUGCUGUGGAUGGGAUCUGAGCUCUACACUGAGACCCCUUAUUCUCCUGGACUGUUUAUUGUUUAUUUUUUAUUUUUUAUUUUUUUGGAAUGCUGUUUAGUAGUGAUAUCUGAUAUUUCACCAGACAAGUGCACUUAUUGACAUCCACUUCACUGUCAGUCCAAAGCCUCUACAUUAAUGGGUGCACAGCUGCAGUUAGAUUGGAGUUACCAAAACAUCCACACUUUGGACAUUUCUGCCAUUAUCCAUGUACGUAUUCAAAGACAUGUGAGUAAGCUUAUUGGUGGCCCUUCCAGAGGCUUCCAGAUAG
This 409-nucleotide long non-coding RNA is filed under the name Sinocyclocheilus grahami. Its description in RNAcentral is "lncRNA (ENSSGRG00000002102.1)". The record is from RNAcentral. Lineage: Eukaryota; Metazoa; Chordata; Actinopteri; Cypriniformes; Cyprinidae.